UUCAUUUUUCUUAAAUUGUAUUUCUCAAUUGCCACUCAAGGAUCUUGGAAGAUGUAUUUAAUCUCAACAUCAAAUUAGAGUUCUAGGAGACCAAGGCAAUUGAAUAUGUCAUUGGACAAAACUCCACUUCAUAUCCUUUGGUGUGUAAAUGAUUCAUUCCUUGAAGAAGAAAGGUUCUGGUUAAUUUGCGGCUUCGUUAUGAUUUGCUGCUUUUUUGUGAUAAGGAUGAGGGGAACUGCCUUUAGAAAAACUGGUUCCGUGGUAGGAUCAUGGUAGGAUGACCUCUGGCCUCUCUCCCUGGGCUCUCUGCUGUAGCUUUCUUCCUCUCUAAGGCUUAUUCCUGAAGCUUCACUAGAGACAGGUAAAAUACAGUUCCUGCCCUCCGGAAGUUUCCAAAUCAGCUGUGGAUAUAGAUUACUGUAGGAGAAUCAUAAAAUCACAGGAGUACAAAUAAAAUGCAGUUUCAGAGAAAGUACACAUUACUUUUUGCCUCAGCUUGUACUGUAACAUUAGCCUGUGUCUUUAUCAGCCUAGAGCUUUACUUUGUUUUAUUAUUUUAAAAAAGAAAAUCGUUCUGCUGGACUGGAAAUACCUUGACGCCAGAGGCCAUGUUAUUUUUAUCUUUUGAUCUCCUCUCUAUUCUAGUACAUUCAGGCUCCACACAGGACACAGCACACAUAAUACUGCCUGGUUUCCCCACUGCGAGCCCUUCGAGAACAAUGUCAUGUUGAUCGAUGGCAGUGACUCACACCAGAUCUUUCCAUGCCUCCUCUGCAAGGACUCAAGAGAGUCGAGAGCAAAACCGUGCCAUAGUUCCAUAAGGAGGGCAAAGAGCUUUAUCCACGCUGAGGAACAGGCGGAUCAUGCGGCUACAGCACUGGUCUUUACCUUUUAACUGCUUGAUUCGAAACAUUCCAGCCAGGAACAGUGGCUCACACCUGUAAUCCCAGCACUUUGUGGGGCCAAGGCAGGUGGAUUGCUCGAGCUCAGGAGUUCGAAACCAGCCUGGGCAACCUGGCAAAACCUCAUCUCUACAAAAAAAUACAAAAAUUAGCCAGGCCUGGUGUGUGUGCCUGUGGUUCCAGCCACUCGGCAGGCUGCGGCCAGAGGAUCACUUGAGCCCAGGAAGUGGAGGCUGCAGUGAGCUGAGAUCGUGCCGCCACACUCCAGCCUGGGUGACAGAGCCAGACAUUGUCUCUAAAAAAAAAAAAAAAAGAAAAGAAAAGAAAGAAAAAAGAGAAAUAGUCCAAGACUAGGGAGAAAACCUUCUUUGGGGUCAGUGUGAACCAUUCUUUCAUUUGUUCAGCAAAUGCUUACUGAGGAGCUACUGUGUCCCUGAAAUUGCCUCCACCUCCAAGAAGACAGUGGUGAGCAAGUCAGACAAUACCUCUAAUCUCAUGGUAUUUAUAAGUAAAUGGGCCGUUAAAAUUACCAGAUCAGAAGUGCUGUGUUCAGCAAAUAGAGGCUCAUGGGAAACUCCUAAGAAGGGCUUCUGAGCUGGACUUGGGGGUCAGGAAAGGCAGAAUGAGGGGGCUGACUCAUCCAGACUGGGGCGGGGUUGCCGGGGGUGCCUCCCACUUACUAUCUGUCUCCUUCUAGACUGACUUCUCUGUCAUCAUGAAUACACCCCUUUAAGACAUACAUUUAAGAGAAAAUAAGAGGAUGCCUUA
Molecule: long non-coding RNA, 1670 nt
Filed under: Homo sapiens (human)
Lineage: Eukaryota; Metazoa; Chordata; Mammalia; Primates; Hominidae
Description: HSALNT0290121
Source: RNAcentral